This 252-nucleotide ribosomal RNA is filed under the name uncultured bacterium. RNAcentral describes it as "partial 16S ribosomal RNA". It matches the Rfam family "Bacterial small subunit ribosomal RNA", at positions 524 to 776 of the family's 1533-position model. The record is from RNAcentral.
UACGUAGGUCCCGAGCGUUGUCCGGAUUUAUUGGGCGUAAAGCGAGCGCAGGCGGUUUAUUAAGUCUGGUGUAAAAGGCAGUGGCUCAACCAUUGUAUGCAUUGGAAACUGGUAGACUUGAGUGCAGGAGAGGAGAGUGGAAUUCCAUGUGUAGCGGUGAAAUGCGUAGAUAUAUGGAGGAACACCGGUGGCGAAAGCGGCUCUCUGGCCUGUAACUGACACUGAGGCUCGAAAGCGUGGGGAGUAAACAGG